GACGAACGCUGGCGGCGUGCUUUACACAUGCAAGUCGAACGGUAAGGCCCGUCGGGGUACACGAGUGGCGAACGGGUGAGUAACACGGGGGUGAUCUACCCUGCACUUCGGCAUAAGCCGGGGAAACUGGGUCUAAUACCGGGCAGAUCCACUGCCCGCAUGGGGGGUGGUGGAAGGCCUUUGCGGUGUGGGAUGGGUCGGCGGCCUAUCGGCUUGUUGGGGGGGUGAUGGCCGACCAAGGCGAAGACGGGUAGGCGGCCGGAGAGGGUGAACGGCCACCAUGGGACUGAGACACGGCCCAGACUCCUACGGGAGGCAGCAGUGGGGAAUAUUGCGCAAUGGGCGAAAGCCUGACGCAGCAACGCCGCGUGCGGGAUGAAGGCCUUCGGGUUGUAAACCGCUUUCAGCAGGGAAGAAGCGAAAGUGACGGUACCUGCAGAAGAAGCACCGGCUAACUACGUGCCAGCCGCCGCCGUAA
This 478-nucleotide ribosomal RNA is filed under the name uncultured bacterium. Its description in RNAcentral is "partial 16S ribosomal RNA". It matches the Rfam family "Bacterial small subunit ribosomal RNA", at positions 28 to 523 of the family's 1533-position model. The record is from RNAcentral.